This 67-nucleotide transfer RNA is filed under the name Ictidomys tridecemlineatus (thirteen-lined ground squirrel). Its description in RNAcentral is "Spermophilus tridecemlineatus (thirteen-lined ground squirrel) tRNA". It matches the Rfam family "tRNA". From Rfam's summary of the family: Transfer RNA (tRNA) molecules are approximately 80 nucleotides in length. Their secondary structure includes four short double-helical elements and three loops (D, anti-codon, and T loops). Lineage: Eukaryota; Metazoa; Chordata; Mammalia; Rodentia; Sciuridae. The record is from Rfam by way of RNAcentral.
GGUGGUAGCUCAGUGGUAGAGCGCUUGCCUGGCACAUGUGCGACUCUGGGUUCGAUCCCCAGCACCA